AGUGAACGCUGGCGGUAGGCCUAACACAUGCAAGUCGAACGGCAGCACAGUAAGAGCUUGCUCUUACGGGUGGCGAGUGGCGGACGGGUGAGGAAUACAUCGGAAUCUACUUUUUCGUGGGGGAUAACGUAGGGAAACUACGCUAAUACCGCAUACGACCUACGGGUGAAAGCAGGGGAUCUUUGGACCUUGCGCGAUUGAAUGAGCCGAUGUCGGAUUAGCUAGUUGGCGGGGUAAAGGCCCACCAAGGCGACGAUCCGUAGCUGGUCUGAGAGGAUGAUCAGCCACACUGGAACUGAGACACGGUCCAGACUCCUACGGGAGGCAGCAGUGGGGAAUAUUGGACAAUGGGCGCAAGCCUGAUCCAGCCAUACCGCGUGGGUGAAGAAGGCCUUCGGGUUGUAAAGCCCUUUUGUUGGGAAAGAAAAGCAGCAGGUUAAUACCCCGCUGUUCUGACGGUACCCAAAGAAUAAGCACCGGCUAACUUCGUG
Molecule: ribosomal RNA, 491 nt
Filed under: uncultured bacterium
Lineage: Bacteria
Description: partial 16S ribosomal RNA
Rfam family: Bacterial small subunit ribosomal RNA
Source: RNAcentral